RNAcentral lists this ribosomal RNA (484 nucleotides) under uncultured bacterium. RNAcentral describes it as "partial 16S ribosomal RNA". It matches the Rfam family "Bacterial small subunit ribosomal RNA", at positions 30 to 507 of the family's 1533-position model. The record is from RNAcentral.
AUUGAACGCUGGCGGCAGGCCUAACACAUGCAAGUCGAGCGGAUGAAGGGAGCUUGCUCCUGGAUUCAGCUGCGGACGGGUGAGUAAUUCCUAGGAAUCUGCCUGGUAGUGGGGGAUAACGUCCGGAAACGGGCGCUAAUACCGCAUACGUCCUGAUGGAGAAAGUGGGGGAUCUUCGGACCUCACGCUAUCAGAUGAGCCUAGGUCGGAUUAGCUAGUUGGUGGGGUAAAGGCCUACCAAGGCGACGAUCCGUAACUGGUCUGAGAGGAUGAUCAGUCACACUGGAACUGAGACACGGUCCAGACUCCUACGGGAGGCAGCAGUGGGGAAUAUUGGACAAUGGGCGAAAGCCUGAUCCAGCCAUGCCGCGUGUGUGAAGAAGGUCUUCGGAUUGUAAAGCACUUUAAGUUGGGAGGAAGGGCAGUAAGUUAAUACCUUGCUGUUUUGACGUUACCAACAGAAUAAGCACCGGCUAACUUCGUG